UGGGGAAUUUUGGACAAUGGGCGCAAGCCUGAUCCAGCCAUGCCGCGUGCAGGAUGAAGGCCUUCGGGUUGUAAACUGCUUUUGUACGGAACGAAAAGCCUGGGGCUAAUAUCCCCGGGUCAUGACGGUACCGUAAGAAUAAGCACCGGCUAACUACGUGCCAGCAGCCGCGGUAAUACGUAGGGUGCAAGCGUUAAUCGGAAUUACUGGGCGUAAAGCGUGCGCAGGCGGUUUUGUAAGACAGUGGUGAAAUCCCCGGGCUCAACCUGGGAACUGCAUUCAAAACUGACUGACUAGAGUGUGGUAGAGGGUGGUGGAAUUUCCUGUGUAGCGGUGAAAUGCGUAGAUAUAGGAAGGAACACCAGUGGCGAAGGCGACCACCUGGACUGAUACUGACACUGAGGUGCGAAAGCGUGGGGAGCAAACAGGA
Molecule: ribosomal RNA, 430 nt
Filed under: Alicycliphilus sp.
Lineage: Bacteria; Pseudomonadati; Pseudomonadota; Betaproteobacteria; Burkholderiales; Comamonadaceae
Description: bacterial SSU rRNA
Rfam family: Bacterial small subunit ribosomal RNA
Source: RNAcentral